UACGGAGGGUGCAAGCGUUAUCCGGAUUCACUGGGUUUAAAGGGUGCGUAGGUGGGCUAGUAAGUCCGUGGUGAAAUCUCCAAGCUUAACUUGGAAACUGCCGUGGAUACUAUUAGUCUUGAAUAUUGUGGAGGUAAGCGGAAUAUGUCAUGUAGCGGUGAAAUGCUUAGAUAUGACAUAGAACACCGAUAGCGGAGGCAGCUUGCUACACAAUCAUUGACACUGAGGCACGAAAGCGUGGGGAUCAAACAGG
Molecule: ribosomal RNA, 253 nt
Filed under: uncultured bacterium
Lineage: Bacteria
Description: partial 16S ribosomal RNA
Rfam family: Bacterial small subunit ribosomal RNA
Source: RNAcentral